GUGCCAGCAGCCGCGGUAAUUCCAGCUCCAAUAGCGUAUAUUAAAAUUGUUGCAGUUAAAAAGCUCGUAGUUGAAUUUUUGCUGGAAAUAACCGGUCUGCUUUUAUUAAUAAGAGUGGUAUCUUGGUGUGUUUUUAGCAAUAAUGUCCUUUGAAAUGUUUUUUACUUUAUUGUAAGAAGCAAUAUUCAGGAUUUUUACUUUGAGAAAAUUAGAGUGUUUCAAGCAAGCUAACGUUUUGAAUACUGCAGCAUGGAAUAAUAAAAUAGGAUUUUGGUUCUACAUUAUUGGUUUUAAGAACUAAAUUAAUGAUUGAUAGGGACAGUUGGGGGCAUUUGUAUUUAACUGUCAGAGGUGAAAUUCUUAGAUUUGUUAAAGACAAACUACUGCGAAAGCAUUUGCCAAAGAUGUUUUCAUUAAUCAAGAACGAAAGUUAGGGGA
RNAcentral lists this ribosomal RNA (438 nucleotides) under Hepatozoon fitzsimonsi. RNAcentral's name for it is "bacterial SSU rRNA". It matches the Rfam family "Eukaryotic small subunit ribosomal RNA", at positions 564 to 997 of the family's 1831-position model. Lineage: Eukaryota; Apicomplexa; Hepatozoidae. The record is from RNAcentral.